This 55-nucleotide ribosomal RNA is filed under the name fungal endophyte. Its description in RNAcentral is "partial 28S ribosomal RNA". Lineage: Eukaryota; Fungi. The record is from RNAcentral.
GACCUCGGAUCAGUAGGGUACCCCGCUGAACUUAAGCAUAUCUACCCGGGAAGAA